GCACCCGUAGCUCAGUUGGAUAGAGUAUCAGAUUCCGAUUCUGAGGGUCGCAAGUUCGAAUCUUGUCGGGUGUACCA
RNAcentral lists this transfer RNA (77 nucleotides) under Clostridiales bacterium. RNAcentral's name for it is "tRNA-Arg". It matches the Rfam family "tRNA". From Rfam's summary of the family: Transfer RNA (tRNA) molecules are approximately 80 nucleotides in length. Their secondary structure includes four short double-helical elements and three loops (D, anti-codon, and T loops). The record is from RNAcentral. Lineage: Bacteria; Bacillati; Bacillota; Clostridia; Eubacteriales.